CCUACGGGUGGCAGCAGUGAGGAAUAUUGGUCAAUGGGCGCGAGCCUGAACCAGCCAAGUAGCGUGAAGGAUGACUGCCCUACGGGUUGUAAACUUCUUUUAUAAAGGAAUAAAGUGAGGCACGUGUGCCUUUUUGUAUGUACUUUAUGAAUAAGGAUCGGCUAACUCCGUGCCAGCAGCCGCGGUAAUACGGAGGAUCAGAGCGUUAUCCGGAUUUAUUGGGUUUAAAGGGAGCGGAGAUGGGUUGUUAAGUCAGUUGUGAAAGUUUGGGGCUCAACCGUAAAAUUGCAAUUGAUACUGGCAGGCUAGAGUACAGUUGAGGUAGGCGGAAUUCGUGGUGUAGCGGUGAAAUGCGUAGAGAUCACGAAGAAUUCCGAUUGCGAAGGCAGCUUACUAAACAGCCACUAACGUUGAUGCGCGAAAGUGUGGGUAGCAAACAGGAUUAGAUACCCGAGUAGUC
RNAcentral lists this ribosomal RNA (460 nucleotides) under uncultured bacterium. RNAcentral describes it as "partial 16S ribosomal RNA". It matches the Rfam family "Bacterial small subunit ribosomal RNA", at positions 338 to 795 of the family's 1533-position model. The record is from RNAcentral.